RNAcentral lists this ribosomal RNA (373 nucleotides) under uncultured organism. Its description in RNAcentral is "partial 16S ribosomal RNA". It matches the Rfam family "Bacterial small subunit ribosomal RNA", at positions 527 to 896 of the family's 1533-position model. The record is from RNAcentral.
GUAGGUGGCAAGCGUUGUCCGGAAUUAUUGGGCGUAAAGCGCGCGCAGGCGGUUCUUUAAGUCUGAUGUGAAAGCCCACGGCUCAACCGUGGAGGGUCAUUGGAAACUGGAGAACUUGAGUACAGAAGAGGAAAGCGGAAUUCCACGUGUAGCGGUGAAAUGCGUAGAGAUGUGGAGGAACACCAGUGGCGAAGGCGGCUUUCUGGUCUGUAACUAACGCUGAGGCGCGAAAGCGUGGGGAGCAAACAGGGAUUAGAUACCCUGGUAGUCCACGCCGUAAACGAUGAGUGCUAAGUGUUAGGGGGUUUCCCGCCCCUUAGUGCUGCAGCUAACGCAUUAAGCACUCCGCCUGGGGAGUACGGCCGCAAGGCUG